Molecule: ribosomal RNA, 455 nt
Filed under: uncultured bacterium
Lineage: Bacteria
Description: bacterial SSU rRNA
Rfam family: Bacterial small subunit ribosomal RNA
Source: RNAcentral
UACGGGAGGCAGCAGUGGGGAAUAUUGCACAAUGGGCGAAAGCCUGAUGCAGCUAUGCCGCGUGUAUGAAGAAGGCCUUAGGGUUGUAAAGUACUUUCAUCGGGGAGGAAAAACAAAACUAAUAAUUUUAUUUCUUGACGUUACCCGAAAAAGAAGCACCGGCUAACUCCGUGCCAGCAGCCGCGGUAAUACGGAGGGUGCUAGCGUUAAUCAGAAUUACUGGGCGUAAAGAGCACGUAGGUGGUUUUUUUAAGUCAGAUGUGAAAUCCCUGGGCUUAACCUAGGAACUGCAUUUUGAAACUGAAAUACUAGAGUAUCGUAGAGGGAGGUAGAAUUCUAGGUGUAGCGGUGAAAUGCGUAGAUAUCUAGAGGAAUACCUGUGGCGAAAGCGGCCUCCUAAACGAAUACUGACACUGAGGUGCGAAAGCGUGGGGAGCAAACAGGGAUUAGAUACC